This 240-nucleotide unclassified non-coding RNA is filed under the name Hevea brasiliensis (rubber tree). Lineage: Eukaryota; Viridiplantae; Streptophyta; Magnoliopsida; Malpighiales; Euphorbiaceae. The record is from RNAcentral.
AACUUGCUAAUCACAGCUUAUUUACAGAUCACAUGUCAAAAACCAAAAACCUAUCUUCACUCCGCAGGCCCAAAAAGGAAAAUGUCAAGCCAAAUUGAGGGGAAAAAAAAUAAAAAGUAAAAACCCUAAUUUUAAUUUUAAUUACAAUUAGUAUAAACCUUUCUACAAUGACGUUUGAUUGUCAGAGUCUCCCCCGCCAGCGUUGCUAUUACAAACGGUGUCGCCUUGCCAUGUCCAGAC